UACGAAGGGGGCUAGCGUUGUUCGGAAUUACUGGGCGUAAAGGGCGCGUAGGCGGUACUUCAAGUCAGGCGUGAAAGCCCCGGGCUCAACCUGGGAACCGCGCUUGAAACUAGCGGGCUUGAGUGUGGCAGAGGGGGGUGGAAUUCCACGUGUAGCAGUGAAAUGCGUAGAGAUGUGGAGGAACACCGAUGGCGAAGGCAGCCCCCUGGGUCAACACUGACGCUCAUGCACGAAAGCGUGGGGAGCAAACAGG
This 253-nucleotide ribosomal RNA is filed under the name uncultured bacterium. Its description in RNAcentral is "partial 16S ribosomal RNA". It matches the Rfam family "Bacterial small subunit ribosomal RNA", at positions 524 to 776 of the family's 1533-position model. The record is from RNAcentral.